CCUACGGGGGGCAGCAGUGGGGAAUAUUGGGCAAUGGGCGCGAGCCUGACCCAGCAACGCCGCGUGAAGGAAGAAGGCUUUCGGGUUGUAAACUUCUUUUCUCAGGGACGAAGGAAGUGACGGUACCUCAGGAAUAAGCCACGGCUAACUACGUGCCAGCAGCCGCGGUAAUACGUAGGUGGCGAGCGUUAUCCGGAUUUACUGGGUGUAAAGGGCGUGUGGGCGGGACUGCAAGUCAGAUGUGAAAACCAUGGGCUCAACCCGUAGCCUGCAUUUGAAACUGUAGUUCUUGAGUGCUGGAGAGGCAGACGGAAUUCCGAGUGUAGCGGUGAAAUGCGUAGAUAUUCGGAGGAACACCAGUGGCGAAGGCGGUCUGCUGGACAGUAACUGACGCUGAGGCGCGAAAGCGUGGGGAGCAAACAGGAUUAGAUACCCGAGUAGUC
Molecule: ribosomal RNA, 443 nt
Filed under: uncultured bacterium
Lineage: Bacteria
Description: partial 16S ribosomal RNA
Rfam family: Bacterial small subunit ribosomal RNA
Source: RNAcentral